ACCACAAGAUUCUAAUUGCGGAU
RNAcentral lists this non-coding RNA (23 nucleotides) under Arabidopsis thaliana (thale cress). The record is from RNAcentral. Lineage: Eukaryota; Viridiplantae; Streptophyta; Magnoliopsida; Brassicales; Brassicaceae.